RNAcentral lists this transfer RNA (71 nucleotides) under bacterium. RNAcentral describes it as "tRNA-Gln". It matches the Rfam family "tRNA". From Rfam's summary of the family: Transfer RNA (tRNA) molecules are approximately 80 nucleotides in length. The record is from RNAcentral. RNAcentral also lists the same sequence under 1 other name.
AACCUCGUGGUGUAAUGGCAGCACAAGAGUUUUUGGUACUCUCGGUCUAGGUUCAAAUCCUGGCGGGGUUG